RNAcentral lists this long non-coding RNA (1010 nucleotides) under Brassica rapa (field mustard). RNAcentral describes it as "long non-coding RNA (BRAP_LNC000649)". Lineage: Eukaryota; Viridiplantae; Streptophyta; Magnoliopsida; Brassicales; Brassicaceae. The record is from RNAcentral.
UCGUAUUUGGCAUUGACCAUUUGUUUGAGUCGUAUUUGACACGACUAAAAUUGUUGGGGUCGAAAUUGGUAUUUUUCCUCGUAUAUCAAAACGACGUCGUUUUAUUUUGUUAACGGUUGACUAACUUCUAGUAAAGCCAAUGUAUAUUUAGGCACGUUUUAAUAAGUUCAUAUAGUAUUUUUGAAUUAUAAUUGAAUUAAGAUCGUAUUUUGUACUGACCAUUUGUUCGGGUCGUAUUUGGCAUGAUUGAAAUGGUUGGGGUCAAAAUUGACACUUUUUCUAGUUUAAUACACCAUGUGAUUAUGUCACUACUCUAAUAUUCGAUAACUCUAAAAAUUGUUAUUAUUGUCAGUGUACUUUUCUUACAACUUUUGUUUAUGUACUUCAGUAAUAUAAAAGUUAUAAAUUCUUUUGGACUAGUUAGUAACAUAUAUGUUGCUUAAACUAUACUACUAUAGUCGUAUUAGUGAAAUUAUUGGCACCAAACGAAAUGUUUUUAAAAUAUAGGUAAUUUACUUAAACGAGUCGUUGACAUCGUUUUGUUGAAUAUUUUAUAUUUGAUGCAUGUGGUCCUGUUGAGGAAAUUACGCCAUUUUUUUUUUUUUUUUGAAUUAUACAGAGGUAUCCUGGCCUCACAGAAGUGAUCCAGACUAGUCACGUGUUACCACGUGUCGGUCCUCUGUCCCUGGCGAUGCCGAAAUGUUAAUUCCCCAGUGGCCGGGAUUCGAACCCAGGUGGCGGUACUUACAGCUGUAAGCCCUUUACCACUAGAGCUAGAAGCCCCGGUUAUUACGCCAUUUCGUGCGUCAUUUCGUGCGUCACGUUCAUGUUGAUUUAGGCUCCGAAUGGUAAUCAGUUUCUCGACCCGCAGUUAACAGUAACAAAAAUCUUUAUAUAUAUCUUAUAUCUAUACAUUUUUAUAACUGUUAGAACAUCACCGCAAUUAAACUGCUUGUCCCGCACCGCUCAACCCGCAGUCACUAUUCAGAGCCUUAGGACGUAUAACCAAU